GUGCAGCAGUCGCGAAAACUUUACAAUGCGGGAAACCGCGAUAAGGGGACACCGAGUGCCAGCAUACUAUGUUGGCUGUCCACAUGUGUAAAUAGCAUGUGUUAGCAAGGGCCGGGCAAGACCGGUGCCAGCCGCCGCGGUAACACCGGCGGCCCGAGUGGUAAUCACUAUUAUUGGGGUCUAAAGGGUCCGUAGCCGGUUUGAUUAGUCUUCCGGGAAAUCUGAUAGCUCAACUAUUAGGCUUCCGGGUGAUACUGUCCGACUUGGGACCGGGAGAGGUAAGAGGGUACUACAGGGGUAGGAGGUGAAAUCUUGGUAAUCCCUGUGGGACCACCAGUAGGCGAAGGCGUCUUACCAGAACGGGUCCGACGGUGAGGGACGAAAGCUGGGGGCACGAACCGGAUUAGAUACCCGUGUAGGU
Molecule: ribosomal RNA, 421 nt
Filed under: uncultured microorganism
Description: bacterial SSU rRNA
Rfam family: Archaeal small subunit ribosomal RNA
Source: RNAcentral